CUGGGUGUAAAGGGCGCGCAGGCGGGAUAGCAAGUCAGAGGUGAAAUCCUACAGCUUAACUGUAGAACUGCCUUUGAUACUGUUAUUCUUGAGUUCGGGAGAGAGAGACGGAAUUCCAGGUGUAGUGGUGAAAUACGUAGAUAUCUGGAAGAACACCAGUUGCGAAGGCGGUCUCUUGGUCCGAUACUGACGCUGAGGCGCGAAAGCGUGGGGAGCAAACAGGAUUAGAUACCCUGGUAGUCCACGCUGUAAACGAUGAAUACUAGGUGUUGGGUUUUUAACUCAGUGCCGCAGCUAACGCAUUAAGUAUUCCACCUGGGAAGUACGAUCGCAAGGUUGAAACUCAAAGGAAUUGACGGGGGCCCGCACAAGCAGUGGAGCAUGUGGUUUAAUUCGAUGCAACGCGAAGAACCUUACCUAGGCUUGAAAUGCAGUAGACCGGGUAUGAAAGUACCCCUCCCUUCGGGGCUGCUGUACAGGUGCUGCAUGGCUGUCGUCAGCUCGUGCCGUGAGGUGUUGGGUUAAGUCUCGCAACGAGCGCAACCCCUACUAUUAGUUGCCAUCAGGUUAUGCUGGGCACUCUAAUGGGACUGCCUACGCAAGUAGUGAGGAAGGUGGGGAUGACGUCAAGUCAGCAUGGCCCUUACGCCUAGGGCUACACACGUGCUACAAUGGAUACUACAACGGGUUGCUAAGCCGCAAGGUGGAGCCAAUCCCUUAAAGGUAUCCUCAGUUCGGAUUGGAGUCUGCAACUCGACUCCAUGAAGUUGGAAUUGCUAGUAAUCGCGUAUCAGCGCGACGCGGUGAAUACGUUCCCGGGCCUUGUACACACCGCCCGUCAAGCCAUGGAAGCCGGGGGUACCCGAAGUCGGUGACCUAACCGUAAGGAAGGAGCUGCCUAAGGUAAAACUGGUGACUGGGGCUAAGUCGUAACAAGGUAGCCG
Molecule: ribosomal RNA, 944 nt
Filed under: bacterium enrichment culture clone 3_19
Lineage: Bacteria
Description: bacterial SSU rRNA
Rfam family: Bacterial small subunit ribosomal RNA
Source: RNAcentral